RNAcentral lists this transfer RNA (51 nucleotides) under Poa billardierei. RNAcentral's name for it is "partial tRNA-Leu". The record is from RNAcentral. Lineage: Eukaryota; Viridiplantae; Streptophyta; Magnoliopsida; Poales; Poaceae.
UUUUUAUCAAUGGGUUUAAGAUUCAUUAGCUUUUUCAUUCUACUCUUUCAG